GAUGAACGCUGGCGGCGUGCUUAACACAUGCAAGUCGAACGAAGCACUUUAUUUGAUUUCCUUCGGGACUGAUUAUUUUGUGACUGAGUGGCGGACGGGUGAGUAACGCGUGGGUAACCUGCCUUGUACAGGGGGAUAACAGUUGGAAACGGCUGCUAAUACCGCAUAAGCGCACAGCAUCGCAUGAUGCAGUGUGAAAAACUCCGGUGGUAUAAGAUGGACCCGCGUUGGAUUAGCUAGUUGGUGAGGUAACGGCCCACCAAGGCGACGAUCCAUAGCCGACCUGAGAGGGUGACCGGCCACAUUGGGACUGAGACACGGCCCAAACUCCUACGGGAGGCAGCAGCGGGGAAUAUUGCACAAUGGGCGAAAGCCUGAUGCAGCGACGCCGCGUGAGCGAAGAAGUAUUUCGGUAUGUAAAGCUCUAUCAGCAGGGAAGAUAAUGACGG
Molecule: ribosomal RNA, 449 nt
Filed under: uncultured bacterium
Lineage: Bacteria
Description: bacterial SSU rRNA
Rfam family: Bacterial small subunit ribosomal RNA
Source: RNAcentral